Molecule: ribosomal RNA, 525 nt
Filed under: Aspergillus niger
Lineage: Eukaryota; Fungi; Ascomycota; Eurotiomycetes; Eurotiales; Aspergillaceae
Description: eukaryotic LSU rRNA
Rfam family: 5.8S ribosomal RNA (bases 152-305)
Source: RNAcentral
GUGUCUAUUGUACCCKGUUGCUUCGGCGGGCCCGCCGCUUGUCGGCCGCCGGGGGGGCGCCUCUGCCCCCCGGGCCCGUGCCCGCCGGAGACCCCAACACGAACACUGUCUGAAAGCGUGCAGUCUGAGUUGAUUGAAUGCAAUCAGUUAAAACUUUCAACAAUGGAUCUCUUGGUUCCGGCAUCGAUGAAGAACGCAGCGAAAUGCGAUAACUAAUGUGAAUUGCAGAAUUCAGUGAAUCAUCGAGUCUUUGAACGCACAUUGCGCCCCCUGGUAUUCCGGGGGGCAUGCCUGUCCGAGCGUCAUUGCUGCCCUCAAGCCCGGCUUGUGUGUUGGGUCGCCGUCCCCCUCUCCGGGGGGACGGGCCCGAAAGGCAGCGGCGGCACCGCGUCCGAUCCUCGAGCGUAUGGGGCUUUGUCACAUGCUCUGUAGGAUUGGCCGGCGCCUGCCGACGUUUUCCAACCAUUCUUUCCAGGUUGACCUCGGAUCAGGUAGGGAUACCCGCUGAACUUAAGCAUAUCAAUA